ACGGAGGGUGCAAACGUUGCUCGGAAUUAUUGGGCGUAAAGCGCACGUAGGCGGUUUCAUAAGUCGGAUGUGAAAGCCCUAGGCUUAACCAAGGAAGUGCAUUCGAAACUGCGAAACUUGAGUAUGGGAGAGGGUUGUGGAAUUCCCGGUGUAGAGGUGAAAUUCGUAGAUAUCGGGAGGAACACCAGUGGCGAAGGCGACAACCUGGACCAACACUGACGCUGAGGUGCGAAAGCGUGGGGAGCAAACAGG
This 252-nucleotide ribosomal RNA is filed under the name uncultured bacterium. RNAcentral describes it as "partial 16S ribosomal RNA". It matches the Rfam family "Bacterial small subunit ribosomal RNA", at positions 525 to 776 of the family's 1533-position model. The record is from RNAcentral.